This 493-nucleotide long non-coding RNA is filed under the name Mytilus galloprovincialis (Mediterranean mussel). Lineage: Eukaryota; Metazoa; Mollusca; Bivalvia; Mytilida; Mytilidae. The record is from RNAcentral.
UUUUAUACAGCAAUUGAUCAGUUAUGUAAAAAGGCUAGCAAAGCUAUAUUUUGUAUUAGAAAAUUAUUAUUUUGUGAAAAGAUGAAUUUACUACCACAUUUAAAGCUUUUUGAUUCAUGCGAUAAACCCAGUCUGUUAUAUAGCAGUGAAGUUUGGGAUACUAUUAGUUUAGUGAAACAAAAUACUGCCAUUGAGUCAAACUAUACAAACUUCAGUCCAAAUAAAAUUAAAAUAAAAUUUUCUAAAUUUUUAUUGGGUGUAAAUAAGGGUGCUGUUAAUAAUGCUGUACUUUCUGAAUAAGGUUUAUUCCCACUUUCAUUGUCAGCCCUUAAAAAUACUAUUAAUUUCUGGCUUCAUAUCAUUAAUAUGGACAAUGAGAGUAUGGAAAAGAAAGCAUACAAUGAAAACUUAAACUUUCCUAAUGGUUUUUGUAGUAAAUUAAGUGUUAUUAGGUAGACUUGGUUUUCAGCAUGUCUGGGAAAAUCAAAAUACU